AUGAGUGAUAUUCCAUCCAAAAGAGAAGGCUGUCUUUAUUGUAUGAAGCCAUUUAUAUGAUUAAAAUUCCAUUUGCCAUAUUGUAAGAUGACAACACCAACUAUACCUGCUAAUCAAAAAGCCCAAGCAAGCUGUACUCCCACAAGCUAAAAAAAAGGUGGAGGCAACCAAAAAUUUAAUUAAAGCUACAAAGAGAGAGUUAGAAAUGGAGAGUGAGUGAGGUAAGUUAUGUUAAAUUGAUAAGGGGCAAACCAGAAUGCACAAUUAAGUCCUUUCCACUACUAGCCUUGGUUUGGAAAGAGCAAGUACUACAAAAGCAGAUAAAGACAUCAACAAUCAAAUUCCUUCAAAAUGUUAAAAAGUACUGAGCCAAAGACUACUUUCCAAGGAGAAACAAAGUCUCCAUUUUAUGCAUCAGAGAACAUUGUUCCUAAACUAGAACUUAACAAAGAUUUGCCUAAAUCAGGGGAAAGGAGAUGUAAUCCUUCAGAAACUGAAGCACCUUUGCUGGUUAGCUCAAUGGAAACUUCUUUGUCAAAACAAGAUGGAAAAUAUUUCUCAGCCAUACUUAAUGAUGUGCAAACAGUUUCUGCUGAUCUGAAAUUGAAAAAAAAUGAUCCCCAAAAACAACAGCAUCUAGUAAAAGUAGUAGAUGUGCCUCCUGGUGAUUAUUACAGUUCAAAGAAUCUCAUUGAUGGAGUUAAAACAGUAACAAUCUCAUUGUCAAGCAAUGAGAGAGAUCCCAAAGGUAGGGAUCACCCCUCAAGAGUCUCCACUGAUAUUGGAGACACUGAGACUUGGGAAAGAACACAGAAUACUAAUUAAGCCUUAAAAAUAGCUAUUUAGGCAAAAUCUGAGUCUUGGGGAACCAAGAAUAAGGACUUAGCCUCAGAGUAGAGAAAAUGCAGGAGAAAAGUGUGUCUGGGACAGAAAAGCAGGAAUGGCCUGCCAUGAGCAUGGCUCAUAGGACUUCAACACUGAUGAUUCAGCCACAGAGAAGAAAUCUCAAGAUGAAGACUCCGUUUAAGCUUGUUCAUUCCAAGGGCGAUAACUUACAAUGAAUUUCUUUCUGUAAUGCAACCAAGCAGCCAAAGUCUUGCCUCUCUGUCUAGAAAAUUUAUUCAAGAAGAGAAAGUAAAAGACUGCAGUCAUAACUGAGUCUCAGAUGUAAAGGCAUUAGUGGAGAGUAAAGAACAAGUCUCUCUGGAGCCCAUAUCUGGCUUCAGUUCCAAGCAUUGCACAUUUAGUGACAGGGCCCUUUAUGUUCACCCCAGGAUCACACUUCUCAGAGCCCCUUCACCAAUCAUGCUACAACUGCUGGCAGAAAGGACCUUUCAGCUCCAUGGGGCUGGAGUUGUUUCCUGCUUAUCUUGGACUAGGGGUGUUCCCAGGAAAGCCUCAGUGUUAGAAUGCAAUGGCCCAGAAACCACAGCUUAUCCGUUCCCAGAAGGGAAGACUUUCACAAGUUCCUUCGUUGGAAAGAAAUUCGACUGAUAUAAGAAGUUUGAAACCCCCAAUCAGACUUACAAUCUCCAAAUUCUCUCUAAUGAAGCUCUUGGGAGCUGUACAAAAAGGCUGGACUAAGUGCAAUACCACCAUAAAGAAGAGUAGAGUCAGUGGUAUCACAGUGCUCUUUAAAGGAUACUUCAUCCUAUUUUGUAGCUGGAGUUUCAUGCAUCUGAAG
This 1684-nucleotide long non-coding RNA is filed under the name Homo sapiens (human). RNAcentral describes it as "non-protein coding lnc-DPP4-7:1". The record is from RNAcentral. Lineage: Eukaryota; Metazoa; Chordata; Mammalia; Primates; Hominidae.